RNAcentral lists this transfer RNA (69 nucleotides) under Hyphessobrycon herbertaxelrodi. RNAcentral's name for it is "tRNA-Ser". The record is from RNAcentral. Lineage: Eukaryota; Metazoa; Chordata; Actinopteri; Characiformes; Acestrorhamphidae.
GAGAGAGGUCUUGAGACAGUAGAAACUGCUAAUUUUUAUACCCACGGCUAAAUUCCGCGGCUCACUCGC